AUACGGAGGGUGCAAGCGUUAUUCGGAAUCACUGGGCGUAAAGGACGCGUAGGCGGGUUGGCAAGUCAGAUGUGAAAUCCUACAGCUUAACUGUAGAUCUGCAUUUGAAACUGCUAACCUAGAGUAUGGGAGGGGGAGAUGGAAUUAGUGGUGUAGGGGUAAAAUCCGUAGAUAUCACUAGGAAUACCGAAAGCGAAGGCGAUCUCCUGGAACAUAACUGACGCUAAGGCGUGAAAGCGUGGGGAGCAAACAGGAUUAGAUACCCUAGUAGUCC
Molecule: ribosomal RNA, 274 nt
Filed under: uncultured bacterium
Lineage: Bacteria
Description: partial 16S ribosomal RNA
Rfam family: Bacterial small subunit ribosomal RNA
Source: RNAcentral